Molecule: ribosomal RNA, 301 nt
Filed under: uncultured bacterium
Lineage: Bacteria
Description: partial 16S ribosomal RNA
Rfam family: Bacterial small subunit ribosomal RNA
Source: RNAcentral
CAGCAGCCGCGGUAAUACGUAGGUGGCAAGCGUUGUCCGGAAUUAUUGGGCGUAAAGGGCUCGCAGGCGGUUUCUUAAGUCUGAUGUGAAAGCCCCCGGCUCAACCGGGGAGGGUCAUUGGAAACUGGGAAACUUGAGUGCAGAAGAGGAGAGUGGAACUCCACGUGUAGCGGUGAAAUGUGUAGAGGUGUGGAGGAACACCAGUGGCGAAGGCGACUCUCUGGUCUGUAACUGACGCUGAGGAGCGAAAGCGUGGGGAGCGAACAGGAUUAGAUACCCCUGUAGUCCCUGUCUCUUAUAC